Molecule: ribosomal RNA, 256 nt
Filed under: uncultured bacterium
Lineage: Bacteria
Description: partial 16S ribosomal RNA
Rfam family: Bacterial small subunit ribosomal RNA
Source: RNAcentral
AACGUAGGAGACAAACGUUAUCCGGAGUUACUGGGCGUAAAGGGCGUGUAGGCGGUUUGUUAAGUCUGGCGUGAAAGCUCUCGGCUAAACCGGGAGAGGUCGUUGGAUACUGGCAAACUAGAGGAUGGUAGAGGCGUGUGGAAUUCCGGGUGUAGUGGUGAAAUGCGUAGAGAUCCGGAGGAACACCAGUGGCGAAGGCGACACGCUGGGGCCAUACCUGACGCUAAAGCAGCGACAGCAUGGGGGAGCAAACAGG